UACGGAGGGGGCGAGCGUUAUUCGGAAUUAUUGGGCGUAAAGGGCGCGUAGGCGGCGCGAUAAGUCAAAGGUGAAAUCCCUCGGCUCAACUGAGGAACUGCCUUUGAGACUGUCGGGCUCGAGGCCGGGAGGGGGUAGCGGAAUUCCCAGUGUAGCGGUGAAAUGCGUAGAUAUUGGGAGGAACACCAGUGGCGAAGGCGGCUACCUGGACCGGUUCUGACGCUGAUGCGCGAAAGCGUGGGUAGCAAACAGG
This 253-nucleotide ribosomal RNA is filed under the name uncultured bacterium. RNAcentral describes it as "partial 16S ribosomal RNA". It matches the Rfam family "Bacterial small subunit ribosomal RNA", at positions 524 to 776 of the family's 1533-position model. The record is from RNAcentral.